AAAGUGGAUUAGCGGCGGACGGGUGAGUAACACGUGAGUAACCUGCCUUAGACAUUGGGAUAGCCUCGGGAAACCGGGAUUAAUACCAAAUAAAAUCAUAAUGACACAUGUCAUAACGAUCAAAACUCCGGUGGUCUAAGAUGGACUCGCGUCCCAUUAGCUAGUUGGUAGAGUAAAAGCCUACCAAGGCGACGAUGGGUAGCCGGCCUGAGCGGGUGAACGGCCACAUUGGAACUGAGAAACGGUCCAA
This 250-nucleotide ribosomal RNA is filed under the name uncultured Eubacteriales bacterium. Its description in RNAcentral is "uncultured Clostridiales bacterium partial 16S ribosomal RNA". It matches the Rfam family "Bacterial small subunit ribosomal RNA", at positions 84 to 334 of the family's 1533-position model. Lineage: Bacteria; Bacillati; Bacillota; Clostridia; Eubacteriales. The record is from RNAcentral.